This 1477-nucleotide ribosomal RNA is filed under the name uncultured bacterium. RNAcentral's name for it is "16S ribosomal RNA". It matches the Rfam family "Bacterial small subunit ribosomal RNA". The record is from RNAcentral.
GAGUUUGAUUCUGGCUCAGGACGAACGCUGGCGGCACGCUCAACACAUGCAAGUCGAACGGAGAAAAAUAGGCUUCGGUUGUDUUCUUAGUGGCGGACGGGUGAGUAACACGUGAGGAACCUGCCUCUGAGAGUGGGAUAACUUCUGGAAACGGAUGGUAAUACCGCAUAACAUAGCGAAACCGCAUGAUUUUGCUAUCAAAGUAUUUGGCNCAGAGAUGGCCUCGCGUCUGAGUAGAGAGUGGGUGAGGUAACGGCUCACCAAGUCGACGAUCAGUAGCCGGACUGAGAGGUUGAACGGCCACAUUGGGACUGAGACACGGCCCAGACUCCUACGGGAGGCAGCAGUGGGGGAUAUUGCACAAUGGGGGAAACCCUGAUGCAGCGAUGCCGCGUGGAGGAAGAAGGUUUUCGGAUUGUAAAGUCCUGUCGUAAGGGAAGAGGAAGGACUGUAGCCUUACAAGAAAGCUCCGGCUAACUACGUGCCAGCAGCCGCGGUAAUACCUCGGCUGCGCGCGCUGUCCGGAAUGACUGGGUGUAAAGGGAGCGUAGGCGGGAUGGCAACUCAGAGUCUGAAACCUGAGUGGCUCAACCUUCAGACUGCAUUUGAAACUGCUGUUCUUGUAGUGAAGUUAGAGGUAAGCGGAAUUCCUGGUGUAGGCGGUGAAUAUGCGUAGAGCUCAGGAGGAACAUCGGUGGCGAAGGCGGCUUACUGCGCUUUUACUGACGCUGAGGCUCGAAAGCGUGGGGCGCAAACAGGCUUAGAUACCCUGGUAGUCCACGCUGUAAACGAUGAUUACUAGGUGUGGGGGGAUUGACCCCUUCCGUGCCGCAGUUAACACAAUAAGUAAUCCACCUGGGGAGUACGACCGCAAGGUUGAAACUCAAAGGAAUUGCACGGGGGCCCGCACAAGCAGUGGAGUAUGUGGUUUAAUUCGACGCAACGCGAAGAACCUUACCAGGUCUUGACAUCGAGUGACGUAUCCAGAGAUGGAUAUCUCUUCGGGACACAAAAACAGGUGGUGCAUGGUUGUCGUCAGCUCGUGUCGUGAGAUGUUGGGUUAAGUCCCGCAACGGGCGCAACCCUUAUCAUUAGUNCUACGCAAGGGCACUCUAAUGAGACUGCCGUUGACAAAACGGAGGAAGGUGGGGAUGACGUCAAAUCAUCAUGCCCCUUAUGACCUGGGCUACACACGUACUACAAUGGCGUUCGAACAGAGGGAAGCAAGACAGCGAUGUGGAGCCAAUCCCAAAAAAUCGCCCCAGCUCCAGAAUGCAGGCUGCCACUCGCCUGCAUGAAGUCGGAAUUGCUAGUAAUCGCAGAUCAGCAUGCUGCGGUGAAUACGUUCCCGGGCCUUGUACACACCGCCCGUCACACCAUGGGAGUCGGUAACACCCAAAGCCGGUCGUCUAACUUCGGGAGGACGCCGUCUAAGGUGGGAUUGAUGACUGGGGUGAAGUCGUUACAAGGUAGCCGU